UUAGUUUCUUACGAGAUCCCAUUAAAAAUAUUUAAUAAUGAUCUUUAAUUUAGAAAAUACUUUUCACAAUUUUAAGGGCCUAAAAGUUAUUUAAUCCAUGUAAGGAAAACGCCAACCUUAUAAGUUAUAAAGUAAUAAAAUUAUAUUCUACAUGAUGCAUGCAUAAGGAGGAACAUAUGGCAGAAAUUAUCAAGUUUAUUUAUGUUAUGAUCAUGAUAUUGCUUAUUUCAAAGAAUGUUGAUGGUAAACUAUUUUUUUUAUCCUUUUCAAUUUUUUUAUUUACUGUACACACAAUUUUAUUCUCCUUUUUUUGGUAAUAGCGGCGGUUUUUAGUUGUCUUCAAGAUUCUGAAUGUCCACAUAAUCUUUGUCCUGCUCCUAGUGAAUCGAAUUGUAUUUAUGGCGUGUGUAAUUGUGUUAUUAAAACCACAGAUUAUCAUGAUCGGUAAGUUUUUUUUUUUUUUGAGAACUCAUUAUUAAGUUGAAUACAACAAAUUUCUGUACCUAAGAGGCAUUUAAUAAUAUUAUUAUUUUAGAAAAUAUUUUUACAACUCCAUAAGGUCUAAAAACUAUUUAAUGACUGUAAGGAGAACAUGAGAUUUAUAAAUUAUAAAGUGAAAAAUCAUGUUCUACUUGAUACAUCCAAUGGGGAGAAAUAUGAUUAAAAUUUGCAAAUUUGUUUGUUAUAAUUAUUUUUCUUUUCAUAUUUCAUGUUUCAACAAACAUUAACAAUAAGCCAUUUAUUUAUCCUUUUAAGUUUUCUUAUUUACUUUGUACAUAACAUUUUAUCCUAUUAUACUAACAAUUUUUUUAUUUUAUUUUUUUCAUUUCAGUGGGAACUAGAUGUUUUCAGGAUAUAUACGAUUGUCCGAAAAAUAUCUGUAUGUCUCCAUUUAAUCUGAGAUUUAUGUAAGAGUGGUUUGUAUGUGUUAGAAUUAUGUCAUAGAUUCAUUAAAUAUCAUAGUUAAGAGAGUAUUACAAUGACAUGAUAGAAUAUUCAAUGAGUUAUCAUUCAAUUAUUGUAAAAUGCGUGUUUAAUAUGUUUUUUCAAUUCGAUUAAAUGUGAGUGUGUAGUAUUUGUUUCAGAAAAAAAAAAUUCCAAUGUAAUGAAUAAAAUUAUUGUACCUAUAAGGAUUCAUCCGAUAGCAAAGUUUAUAUAUAAAAGUGUUUGGUUGUAAAGUAAUUGUUUAAAAGCAUAAAAUACCGAAAGUAAAAUAAGAGAAUAAUAGUGAAAAAGACUUGUUGGCUAUAAAUUCAU
RNAcentral lists this long non-coding RNA (1257 nucleotides) under Lathyrus oleraceus (garden pea). RNAcentral describes it as "Pisum sativum (pea) long non-coding RNA (PSAT_LNC033448)". The record is from RNAcentral. Lineage: Eukaryota; Viridiplantae; Streptophyta; Magnoliopsida; Fabales; Fabaceae.